Molecule: long non-coding RNA, 376 nt
Organism: Oncorhynchus tshawytscha (Chinook salmon)
Lineage: Eukaryota; Metazoa; Chordata; Actinopteri; Salmoniformes; Salmonidae
Source: Ensembl
CCCGAUAAUGAUGCUUGGCCGCAGCAUCACUUUGGAGAUUAAAAGCAAGAUGCUGAAUUUCAAUCAAGACCCAGUUUAAUGGGUCGGUCUGAGGGAUGAUCACUCUGUCUCCUUUGGCAGAGGAGGGAGAGAGAGAGAGAGAGAGAGAGAGAGAGAGAGAGGAAGAGAGAGGUUAAAGAAAGGAGAGGGAGAGAGAGGUUAAAGAGAGGAGAGAGAGAGAUAGGUUAAAGAAAGGAGAGGGAGAGAGAGAGGUUAAAGAAAGGAGAGAGAGAGGUUAAAGAAAGGAGAGAGAGAGAGAGAGGUUAAAGAAAGGAGAGAGAGAGAGAGGUUAAAGAAAGGAGAGAGAGAUAGAGAGGUUAAAGAAAGGAGAGAGAGA